Scophthalmus maximus (turbot) is the source of this 1010-nucleotide long non-coding RNA. RefSeq lists it as uncharacterized. NCBI's taxonomy places the organism in Eukaryota, Metazoa, Chordata, Actinopteri, Pleuronectiformes, Scophthalmidae. The record is from RefSeq and is a predicted model, not a curated record. The transcript is spliced from 2 exons.
GGAAGCAGAAGCAGUGGAUGUUUUUGGCGAGUUAGAUCUGAAUGCAUUAAAAAUAACUUCUUAAACUCAUUUGUUGCUUUUCUUUUAUGAGUGUACAUCCAAGAAAGUUGAUGAAUCAAUAACAAGACUGUUGAUGUUUAUAGUUUACAGUGUGGUAAACAUGUCAGAGCACGCUCAGCGGGGAGUUCGGAGAUGAGGGAAUUAAAGCGUGAGGACGGUGUGUCAGGUUGUUGUGGGUACUGAGCCGAGCUGUUGGCUAAGCACGAGGAGAAGCAUGUGGAUGCGCUGACAGGCAGGCAGACAGGUUAGACGGCAAGGAGGCGGAAAUUUGUUGAACAGGGGGAAGGCUGGUAGGCACAUAAAAACAAAAUCAGAAGAAAACCUGUAGGGGGCCCUCAGUACACGAGGAAGACUGUGAGACAGGCGGACUGACAUACAGUAGACAAGAUGAGAGACAGGCGAGCGCAUUGUAAACAGGGCGUUUAAAAGGCUCUUUUGUUGGAGUGACUCAUCCAUCCUCGUGGCAGGAGCAGGUGGAGGCAGGUGAGGAAAGAUUUGCUGCUUAAAACUGGCAGAGGCACCGACGACGAGCUCGCAACGCUGCAGUGACGCCGAGGCAGAAAAAUGUUCUAAUAUCACGGAGGACGCCUUCGACACGCGGGCACAUGUGCAGCCGUGGUCCCCAUGGUUCCCAUCCCGUCUUCAAACAGCAGCCACACCCAGGCCUGUGUGGAAGAUGACCCUGCCGCAGAGGCAACAAAGUGGCUUUUAACAUGGACACAGGGAGAGGAAGAUGUAUGUUCAUUUAUUGACACAGAUGAGAGAGGAAGAUAUGAGAACCGAGUGGCCUCUCCGCCUCCAGCUGGUGCCCGCAGCUCGCACCAAUCAUACCGGGCGGGACACUUCCACGAUAUUGUAUUUCAUACCAGAUAAUGUGAUUCACAAUGAAGGCGGUUGUUCGAUUGCAUGACGACAAUUAAAGAAACAUGCCGCGAAAGUUUAAGCUGAAA